CCUACGGGGCAGCAGUGGGGAAUAUUGCACAAUGGGCGGAAGCCUGAUGCAGCGACGCCGCGUGAGGGAUGACGGCCUUCGGGUUGUAAACCUCUUUCAGUAGGGAAGAAGCGUAAGUGACGGUACCUGCAGAAGAAGCGCCGGCUAACUACGUGCCAGCAGCCGCGGUAAUACGUAGGGCGCAAGCGUUAUCCGGAAUUAUUGGGCGUAAAGAGCUCGUAGGCGGUUUGUCGCGUCUGCCGUGAAAGUCCGGGGCUCAACUCCGGAUCUGCGGUGGGUACGGGCAGACUAGAGUGAUGUAGGGGAGACUGGAAUUCCUGGUGUAGCGGUGAAAUGCGCAGAUAUCAGGAGGAACACCGAUGGCGAAGGCAGGUCUCUGGGCAUUAACUGACGCUGAGGAGCGAAAGCAUGGGGAGCGAACAGGAUUAGAUACCCUGGUAGUCCAUGCCGUAAACGUUGGGCACUAGGUGUGGGGGACAUUCCACGUUUUCCGCGCCGUAGCUAACGCAUUAAGUGCCCCGCCUGGGGAGGACGGCGCGAGACGAACUAACAAGAAGUAGACGCGUGAGACGUGCGACGACGACGACGAGGGAGGUAGG
Molecule: ribosomal RNA, 599 nt
Filed under: uncultured bacterium
Lineage: Bacteria
Description: bacterial SSU rRNA
Rfam family: Bacterial small subunit ribosomal RNA (bases 1-523)
Source: RNAcentral